UGUCUAUAUGAAGAUUUAUGUAGUCAGGCCUGCUCACUGAGUUUUAGAUUUUAAGAGCCGCAGUAUUCUAACUGUGCAAAGGUAGCAUAAUCAUUAGUUUUUUAAUUGGAAACUUGUAUGAAUGGUUAGACAAAAGAACCUCUGUCUCUUGUUUAAAAUAUUGAAUUUUACUUUUAAGUGAAAAGGCUUAAAUUUUUUAGAGGGACGAUAAGACCCUAUAAAACUUUAUAAAAAAUAGGUUUUUAAAAAGAUAAAUUUAAAUAAAUGUGAAAAUUUAUAUUUUAUUUUGUUGGGGUGACGAUUAUAUAAAUAAUAAUAACUGUAAUAUUAUUAAAACAUGUAAUAAAUGAAGAAAUGAAAAAUUGAUCCUAAUGUAAAGAUUGGAAGACAAAGUUACUUUAGGGAUAACAGCGUAAUUUUUUUUAAGAGAUCUUAUCGAAAAAAAAGUUUGCGACCUCGAUGUUGAAUUAAAAUAUCUUUAUUAGUGUAGCCGCAAUAGAGAGAAG
Molecule: ribosomal RNA, 506 nt
Filed under: Hyastenus sp. 19142B
Lineage: Eukaryota; Metazoa; Arthropoda; Malacostraca; Decapoda; Majidae
Description: partial large subunit ribosomal RNA
Rfam family: Bacterial large subunit ribosomal RNA
Source: RNAcentral